Molecule: ribosomal RNA, 460 nt
Filed under: uncultured bacterium
Lineage: Bacteria
Description: partial 16S ribosomal RNA
Rfam family: Bacterial small subunit ribosomal RNA
Source: RNAcentral
CCUACGGGUGGCUGCAGUGAGGAAUAUUGGUCAAUGGGCGCGAGCCUGAACCAGCCAAGUAGCGUGAAUGAUGACUGCCCUACGGGUUGUAAACUUCUUUUAUAAAGGAAUAAAGUGAGGCACGUGUGCCUUUUUGUAUGUACUUUAUGAAUAAGGAUCGGCUAACUCCGUGCCAGCAGCCGCGGUAAUACGGAGGAUCCGAGCGUUAUCCGGAUUUAUUGGGUUUAAAGGGAGCGUAGAUGGGUUGUUAAGUCAGUUGUGAAAGUUUGCGGCUCAACCGUAAAAUUGCAAUUGAUACUGGCUGCCUUGAGUACAGUUGAGGUAGGCGGAAUUCGUGGUGUAGCGGUGAAAUGCUUAGAUAUCACGAAGAACACCGAUGGCGAAGGCAGCUUACUAAACUGCCACUGACAUUGAUGCUCGAAAGUGUGGGUAGCAAACAGGAUUAGAUACCCUUGUAGUC